CUUCUCAGACACACGCCAUGGAUCAAACACAUAAAGGAAGGGCCAAAGGGACACUGACAAGGCACCGUGUUCCUGAACUCUGCUUACUCUCAAUUCUGGGCGCCUGAAUAUCCGCUCAUCCAAUAAUCUUGAUGUCGAGUGACAGGUAUGUGCAGCUGGGUGAGUAAGUAAUUAUUUCUACUUCUAUUGUUCUGUUAACUUAUUGUUCACCACAAAGUGCUGUGGCAUUCUGCUCUUUUUAAUUGGACUUGAGCUUGCAUAUGUGAUGAAGUUUUGACACGUGUCGUGGUGACGUGGCACGGCGUAAUAAUCUUAUUUUUGAAUAAGUCUUUGUGUUAUUUGUAGAUCCCCCAAACUACCAGCAUUAGAAACAAGUUGUCAUUGAGCUCUAGCCACUAACUGAUGUGGAU
RNAcentral lists this long non-coding RNA (410 nucleotides) under Scophthalmus maximus (turbot). RNAcentral describes it as "lncRNA (ENSSMAG00000025526.1)". The record is from RNAcentral. Lineage: Eukaryota; Metazoa; Chordata; Actinopteri; Pleuronectiformes; Scophthalmidae.